RNAcentral lists this ribosomal RNA (456 nucleotides) under uncultured Acidovorax sp. Its description in RNAcentral is "bacterial SSU rRNA". It matches the Rfam family "Bacterial small subunit ribosomal RNA", at positions 924 to 1382 of the family's 1533-position model. Lineage: Bacteria; Pseudomonadati; Pseudomonadota; Betaproteobacteria; Burkholderiales; Comamonadaceae. The record is from RNAcentral.
CACAAGCAGCGGAGCAUGUGGCUUAAUUCGAUGCAACGCGAAAACCUUACCACCUUUGACAUGUACGGAAUCCUUUAGAGAUAGAGGAGUGCUCGAAAGAGAGCCGUAACACAGGUGCUGCAUGGCUGUCGUCAGCUCGUGUCGUGAGAUGUUGGGUUAAGUCCUGCAACGAGCGCAACCCUUGUCAUUAGUUGCUACAUUCAGUUGGGCACUCUAAUGAGACUGCCGGUGACAAACCGGAGGAAGGUGGGGAUGACGUCAAGUCCUCAUGGCCCUUAUAGGUGGGGCUACACACGUCAUACAAUGGAUGGUACAAAGGGUCGCCAACCCGCGAGGGGGAGCCAAUCCCAUAAAGCCAUUCGUAGUCCGGAUCGCAGUCUGCAACUCGACUGCGUGAAGUCGGAAUCGCUAGUAAUCGUGGAUCAGAAUGUCACGGUGAAUACGUUCCCGGGUCUU